Molecule: ribosomal RNA, 106 nt
Filed under: Acanthosepion pharaonis
Lineage: Eukaryota; Metazoa; Mollusca; Cephalopoda; Sepiida; Sepiidae
Source: RNAcentral
ACAUCAGGUUGAAACACCAGUUCCCAUACGAUCACUGAAGUUAAGCAACAUUGAGCCUGGUCAGUACCUAGAUGGGUGACCACUUGUGAAUACCAAGUACUGUAAG